Molecule: long non-coding RNA, 1931 nt
Organism: Helianthus annuus (common sunflower)
Lineage: Eukaryota; Viridiplantae; Streptophyta; Magnoliopsida; Asterales; Asteraceae
Exons: 8
Source: RefSeq, a predicted model, not a curated record
CUAACAUCUUCCAGUGGAGAAAACCCUAAUAUCUUCUACACCAUACAUCAGAUAACCAACAGGCGAAUACAUCAGAUAACCAACUACAACACGAUCAGGACCUCAAACCACAUUCACAGCCAACCCUAAUUCGUCUCCUCACAUCCCACCUAUCGCACAAUGCGCAUCAUUCUGCACUUUCAUUCCUCUCAACUCUAUAUCAAUGUUUUUGCUGUGAACGGUUGUGAAGAAGCCUCUUGCACUAGUUGUUCUAAUCGGAAGACCUGCUGAAAAUACGGCACGCAGUUCAGCAGGACACGGUGAGGGUCAAGGUGCUGGUAGGGGUCAAGGUGGUGGUCGAGGUAGCGGACGUGGUGGGGGUCAAGGUGCUGGUAGGGAUUAGUUGCAGCAUGAGCUUAGUGAUGUUGAUGAGCCUGUCGCUGCCGUUGGGCGUGGACCUGUUAUUCCAGCUCCACUGCCUACACCCGAAAAUCGCAAUUGGAUUUGGGUUGAAAAGGAUGAAUUCAAUGAUCAUGAUAAAGUUUCUCGGACCAUUGGAUCCAACUUGAAGUCUAUGUGGUCGGGUCCAUGGAAAGGAUGGAAAGACGUUCCUUCCCAUCACCGCGAACGCUUGUUUGAGCGUUUUCAGCAAUACUACUGAUGGGAAGAUAUUUCAAAUCCUCAAUUCACUCAUGCUUUGCUAGGAGAAGUGCAUUAAGGGGAAGUUUCCUGAUUUGUUGAAGAGGGCUCGUGAUAAAGCCAAGGCCCUUGCGAUCCAAGAGGGUGCGAAAGUUGAGAAUGAUUUGACUCCCAUUCUUCUAUUUAAGCCACUGUGGAUGAGUCAAGAGUCUUGGGAAACGCUAGUGCAUGCUUGGAAUACUGUUUCAUGGAAAAGCAAAGCUUCUCAAAACAGCGAUAACAGAGGGUGGCAGGCAUACCCUUGGCUCGAAGAGCUUUCUCACGGUUAGAAAAAAACAUGGUUUUGGGUUGGGUCGGUUCUUGAACACAAGAAAACCGACCAAACCUAGUGGAUCGACUUUUACCAAGCAAAUAGAAUGUGCCAACCAGGCCCAACAGCAAUAUAAUGUUUUAAACUAAAGUCUUAAAUCGCAACAUCAGUUUGUUCAUCAAUAACAAUGAAUACGUAACUGUUUCACCUACAAUCUGCAAUUCAUACUUAUUUCUUCAAGUAAUCCAUCAAUCUGCAAUUUGACUUGGCUGCUUCUUUCAAGAUAUUAUGGAGAAGACCUUGAUGCGGCGCGUCAAGUUCGGUGAAUUCUGGUUACAAACACACGCAAAGAAAGGGUUCGAGACCCCUAGAUGGGUUGUUGGGGUCUAGCAGCUCGAUUGAGCACGGUUCGGGAGAAGGCGGUGACAUGGAAGAGAUCAUUCAUGAGAAAAACGUGACUUGGGUUGACACGAGGGCGAGUGAAGCUUAUGAAACUUACAAUAAAUAUGAUGUCGACAAAUAUGGAGAGGAUACCAUCUUGCAUCCGGGAAUUGACAUGGAAUUGUUGUCGCAAACUGUUGGAGACAAAAAACAAAGGGUAAAUGUAUGGGAUCGGCACUAUCGCUGACUCGCGUGUCGUGAUGAUGGGUACACAAGAGAGAAGUGACCACAAUGAGGUGGAACGGUUGAAGGAAAAAAUAGCGAAGUUGGAACAAGAUAAGAUAGAGAAACAUGCUAUGAUGGAGAAAAUUGAACAAGGUGCGAGGUUGUAUGCCAAAAUGAAUAAGAAAAUUCAAAAUGUUGUCGCAAAACUCGCUACAAAACCCGCCACCAACUUAAAAUGCGUUGAAUUUUAUUAUAUUGCUUUUAGAUAAUUUGGAUUUCUAUGGUGUUAGGUUUGGUUAUGUUUGAAUUAGUUGGAUUUUUAUCGUGUUGCAUUCGGUUAUGUUUGGAUGAUUUGGAUCUUUAGUAUGACUUUUUAAUAUUUAUUGUUAUGUUUGAA